GGCUCUGUAGUGUAGUGGUUAUCACAGCGGAUUCUGAUCUACACUGAUUUCCGUUAACCCAGGUUCGAGUCCUGGCAGGGCCU
Molecule: transfer RNA, 83 nt
Organism: Daedalea quercina L-15889
Lineage: Eukaryota; Fungi; Basidiomycota; Agaricomycetes; Polyporales; Fomitopsidaceae
Rfam family: tRNA
About the family: Transfer RNA (tRNA) molecules are approximately 80 nucleotides in length.
Source: Rfam